GAUGAACGCUGGCGGCGUGCCUAACACAUGCAAGUCGAGCGAACCCUUCGGGGUGACCGGCGGACGGGUGAGUAACGCGUGGGUAACCUGCCCUGUACACACGGAUAACAUACCGAAAGGUAUGCUAAUACGAGAUAAUAUGUAAUGAUCGCAUGGUCGAUACAUCAAAGCUCCGGCGGUACAGGAUGGACCCGCGUCUGAUUAGCUAGUUGGUGAGGUAAUGGCUCACCAAGGCGACGAUCAGUAGCCGACCUGAGAGGGUGAUCGGCCACAUUGGAACUGAGACACGGUCCAAACUCCUACGGGAGGCAGCAGUGGGGAAUAUUGCACAAUGGGCGAAAGCCUGAUGCAGCAACGCCGCGUGAGCGAUGAAGGCCUUCGGGUCGUAAAGCUCUGUCCUCAAGGAAGAUAAUGACGGUACUUGAGGAGGAAGCCCCGGCUAACUACGUGCCAGCAGCCGCGGUAAUACGUAGGGGGCUAGCGUUAUCCGGAUUUACUGGGCGUAAAGGGUGCGUAGGCGGUCUUUCAAGUCAGGAGUGAAAGGCUACGGCUCAACCGUAGUAAGCUCUUGAAACUGUAAGACUUGAGUGCAGGAGAGGAGAGUGGAAUUCCUAGUGUAGCGGUGAAAUGCGUAGAUAUUAGGAGGAACACCAGUUGCGAAGGCGGCUCUCUGGACUGUAACUGACGCUGAGGCACGAAAGCGUGGGGAGCAAACAGGAUUAGAUACCUGGUAGUCCACGCCGUAAACGAUGAGUACUAGCUGUCGGAGGUUACCCCCUUCGGUGGCGCAGCUAACGCAUUAAGUACUCCGCCUGGGAAGUACGCUCGCAAGAGUGAAACUCAAAGGAAUUGACGGGGACCCGCACAAGUAGCGGAGCAUGUGGUUUAAUUCGAAGCAACGCGAAGAACCUUACCUAAGCUUGACAUCCUUUUGACCUCUCCCUAAUCGGAGAUUUCCCUUCGGGGACAGAAGUGACAGGUGGUGCAUGGUUGUCGUCAGCUCGUGUCGUGAGAUGUUGGGUUAAGUCCCGCAACGAGCGCAACCCUUGCCUUUAGUUGCCAGCAUUAAGUUGGGCACUCUAGAGGGACUGCCAGGGAUAACCUGGAGGAAGGUGGGGAUGACGUCAAAUCAUCAUGCCCCUUAUGCUUAGGGCUACACACGUGCUACAAUGGGUGGUACAGAGGGCAGCCAAGUCGUGAGGCGGAGCUAAUCCCUUCAAGCCAUUCUCAGUUCGGAUUGUAGGCUGAAACUCGCCUACAUGAAGCUGGAGUUACUAGUAAUCGCAGAUCAGAAUGCUGCGGUGAAUGCGUUCCCGGGUCUUGUACACACCGCCCGUC
This 1338-nucleotide ribosomal RNA is filed under the name uncultured bacterium. RNAcentral describes it as "16S ribosomal RNA". It matches the Rfam family "Bacterial small subunit ribosomal RNA", at positions 28 to 1398 of the family's 1533-position model. The record is from RNAcentral.